Molecule: long non-coding RNA, 505 nt
Organism: Cynocephalus volans (Philippine flying lemur)
Lineage: Eukaryota; Metazoa; Chordata; Mammalia; Dermoptera; Cynocephalidae
Exons: 3
Source: RefSeq, a predicted model, not a curated record
UUGAAUUAUUCUGCAUCUCCUUCCAGUCAGGCCAGAGUGAAGAGCCUUAUGUCAGCAUCACCAAGAAGCGGCAGAUACCCAAAAACGGCCUCUCAGAGGAGAUUGAGAAGGAGGUGGGCCAGGCAGAAGGCAAGCUGUUCACCCACCGAUCUGCAUUCAGCCGGGCAUCAGUGAUCCAGGCUUUCCUGGGCUCAGCCCCGCAACUGACCCUGCAGCUGUAUAUAAGCGUCUUGGAGCAGGACGUCAGUGUUGGAAGAAGAGCAGGACACAGGCCUCUCCCCAGCACCCUCAGCUGAUCACAUGACAGUGACAACAUGCUCUCCCUGAAAUGAAGCACCUUUGUGUCCAGGACAUGGGUUUCUCAUAUUACAGUGUCCUUCAGUCAAAAGAUUCCAUCUGUGGAAGGCAAAGUGAAAAUCGUCCGGACAUGGGAACACUUAAGAUAGGAUUAUGAAAGCCUGAAAACAUGAAUGGUUGUAGCUUAGCUACCUGUUACUUGAAGUGG